This is a long non-coding RNA of Carya illinoinensis, 808 nucleotides long. RefSeq lists it as uncharacterized. The record is from RefSeq and is a predicted model, not a curated record. The transcript is spliced from 2 exons. Lineage: Eukaryota; Viridiplantae; Streptophyta; Magnoliopsida; Fagales; Juglandaceae.
UUCUCUUCCCCAUUUGAAUUUCAGAGCCCCAUUCAAAUUUGCCCUGUGAAAUACCUCUUCCCUCGCCUAGGUCGCGUCACCUUCCUCUACCCAGCACCACCCGGCAACGCCGUCUCUUUGUCCAGCGACACCGAGCGAUACUCCUCCGUCUGCCCAGCACUGCCACUCCCCGAGAGAUCAUUGAACGGAGCAAACCAAAUUUAAAUCCCAUGAAGACACCCCUCCUCCCUCGCCAAGCAACCUGUGUCGCAGCGUUUGACCUCUGCCCAGUGCUACCCCUCGAAGCUCAUCCAUUUGCCUAGCAUAGCCCCUCCCCCGAGCUCAUUUAACGCAAACUAGCGACAUUGCUCUGGUGGAUCUCUCUUUCGCCGCCAUCCCUUGGAGGGCAUCGUAGGAUAGAUGCAUGGUGUAGAUGGUGGAGUUGCAUCCAAAGGGUUCUCAAAGGACCCACUGAAGAUGUUUCUAGGGAUUUUGACUUUUGGUGAUCAAAAGUGAAGAAGCACGAGGCUAGUUCAAAAGUGAAAAUGGGUAGCUGCUGUGCUUAGAUUAUAUUCCCAGAGUUCAAGUACAAUAGGAACUAAUGUUUCACUCUUUUGGCAAAUGUUUGUGUAUAGCAUCAGCAUAGACAUGUCUGGCUCAUUCUAAUUUGUAAAGAUUCACUUAUGCUAGUCAAACUAAUUUGCUGUGAUAAUUAGUAAUGUUGCCUGGUUUAGCACAUGAACGUGCUCUGUUUUAGAUUCUGGAAAACCAAGUCCUUGAACUCGGAUAGGUCAUGAAUAUAAUGGCAAUUUGCAGGUGUUCAGACUUA